Long non-coding RNA from Girardinichthys multiradiatus, 714 nucleotides. RefSeq lists it as uncharacterized. The record is from RefSeq and is a predicted model, not a curated record. Lineage: Eukaryota; Metazoa; Chordata; Actinopteri; Cyprinodontiformes; Goodeidae. The transcript has 2 exons.
CUGCCAAUGAGACAGUGUUACCCAAUAGAAGGAGUGAACAAAAUGACAUGAGUGCAUUAGAAUACAAAGGAGGAUAUUUAAAUUUCCAUACAAAGAAGAAGACCAGCAAACAAGAUCGGAGAGAUGCCACAGAGGAAUCAGACCAGAGACACAGCCCAGCUGAUCGACUGCAUUUAACAGAGGAUCAACCAGUUGACUUUGAAGGACUGUGCCUCACAAUUAAGAAUCUGAUUUCAUCUGAAAGCUUUUUUAUCCAGACAACAGAAGUGAACUUGAUCGGUGAACAGCUGAUAGCUCCAAGAUUCAGGCAUCAGGAAGUCCUGACUCAAACUCAUUUGCGUCUCCGGUUUUCCCUCAACUCUUCAGCCCCUGGAAACCACUACCUUUGGGGACAAAGAACAACAAAGAUCCAGUUUAACCAUCAAGGUUUGGAGCAUCAGUACAUGCCACUUAAAGGAAGAAAACUGAAGAUGAAGUCGUAUUCCCUUCAAGAAACCACUCGUUGUCACCAGAAGAAUUCUUCUCCAUCAGGUUCAUGGAUGAGUCUCCAUCUUCAAAAGCCUCUUUAAAUCCACUAGUUUCAGCAUCAGGGAAAGACAGGUUGAGUUGAUUGAUUCAUUACUAUUUUUGUGAUAAUUCAUUGUAUUGCUGGAUUUAAGCUGUUACUGACUCCCGCCAAAGCGUUACUAAUUAAAGCAAGCAUAUAAAAUUCUA